UCCUUAUCAAGAGUCGGGGGAGGAACCUGGUCCUGAGAUCCCGCAGCAACCGUUACGAUGUAACAAGGUGCUAAGUCCAGCAAGCGUAUGCUUGAAAGAUGAGGG
Molecule: non-coding RNA, 105 nt
Filed under: Bhargavaea cecembensis
Lineage: Bacteria; Bacillati; Bacillota; Bacilli; Caryophanales; Caryophanaceae
Also listed under: 1 other name
Description: SAM-I sequence
Rfam family: SAM riboswitch aptamer (S box leader)
About the family: The SAM riboswitch is found upstream of a number of genes which code for proteins involved in methionine or cysteine biosynthesis in Gram-positive bacteria. The SAM riboswitch acts at the level of transcription termination control.
Source: RNAcentral